This 253-nucleotide ribosomal RNA is filed under the name uncultured bacterium. RNAcentral's name for it is "partial 16S ribosomal RNA". It matches the Rfam family "Bacterial small subunit ribosomal RNA", at positions 524 to 776 of the family's 1533-position model. The record is from RNAcentral.
UACGUAGGGGGCAAGCGUUGUCCGGAAUUAUUGGGCGUAAAGAGCGCGUAGGCGGUCCGAUAAGUCGGCUGUGAAAGUCAGGGGCUCAACCCUUGAAAGCCGGCCGAUACUGUCGGACUAGAGUCCGGAAGAGGCAAGUGGAAUUCCCGGUGUAGCGGUGAAAUGCGUAGAUAUCGAGAGGAACACCUGCGGCGAAGGCGGGUUGCUGGGCUGAUACUGACGCUGAGGCGCGAAAGCCAGGGGAGCGAACGGG